Molecule: long non-coding RNA, 666 nt
Filed under: Fukomys damarensis (Damara mole-rat)
Lineage: Eukaryota; Metazoa; Chordata; Mammalia; Rodentia; Bathyergidae
Description: lncRNA (ENSFDAG00000033603.1)
Source: RNAcentral
GGCUUUGUGAGAAGGGAAAGAAAACGAUGCUCCUUAUAGCCCCAGGACGCUCCAGGAAUUACCUCCCCAGGAAGAGCACUGCUUUCCUAGGCCAUUAGCGGGGGUGGCCGACUCAGCAGAGCUUCAGGAGAAAACUGAAGUGACUCAGUGAGCACUGAGACUCCGGGUGGGCACAGCACGUUCCAGUAGAGCUAGCAAAGCAGCACAGCACCCAGAUGGCAGGAACGCAUCUGCAGUGUCCCUCGGGGGACUGCCCGAAAUAUUCGAGAGCAGAGAAUAUUUUUGCAGUCAAGCACUGGAAAUGAGAACGAGAGCACCAGAGUGGAGCCAGAAUAAUUCUCGAGGCUCUUCUUCCUGUAUAACUCCCUGGAAGUCAUCUCCAGUGACAAAAGGGUAAAAUCUUACAUAGAAAACCAGGUGAAAUGCACAGAGAAAGGAGUAGUAAACACUGCUUUCCAGAGGAGAAUCUUAAUGAUGAAAAUAAAGAAUUUUAAGCAGAAGAGGAGGAAAACAUCACACCGUGCAGGCGACUGUAUGGAGAUAUUUCAUAUCUGGCCACAACACUUUUACAAAAUUUUUUUUUAAAGUCUGUAUUCUAACCCUUCUUUUUCAUGACCUGAAAAGAACCAUAUGUCUGCCAGUGAACUUUAUAGACCCAUGGAGACC